UUCACAUUGCUUCCAAAGUUUGGUUGACAAAAAAUGGUGCAUAAACAUAGGGGUUAGAAGUAUGAACAAAAUGUUUGGUUAUCUUUGCUAGUUGAUCCGCUACCAUAUUUUGCUCUUUGUAUGUAUGCUGGACAGGCGGAUUAUUCAGCUGAUUGAGAAGGUACCUGCAGUCAUUUAAUAUAUUGGCAAGUGGAAGGUUGUCAGUUUGCAACAAUGUAAUAAUUU
This 225-nucleotide long non-coding RNA is filed under the name Nicotiana benthamiana. RNAcentral's name for it is "long non-coding RNA (NBEN_LNC022700)". The record is from RNAcentral. Lineage: Eukaryota; Viridiplantae; Streptophyta; Magnoliopsida; Solanales; Solanaceae.